AUUGAACGCUGGCGGCAGGCCUAACACAUGCAAGUCGAGCGAGCGGCGGACGGGUGAGUAAUUUAUGGGGCUCUGCCCCAUAGUGGGGGGUAACUACUGGAAACGGUAGCUAAUACCGCAUACUAUCGCAUGAAUCCAUAUGGGAUUGGCUAGUAGGUGAGGUAAUGGCUCACCUAGGCGACGAUCCCGAGCUGGUCUGAGAGGAUGAUCAGCCACACUGGGACUGAGACACGGCCCAGACUCCUACGGGAGGCAGCAGGGGGGAAUAUUGCACAAGGGGAGAAAGCCGGAUGCAGCCAUGCCGGGUGUAUGAAGAAGGCCCUAGGGUUGUAAAGCACUUUCAGCGAGGAGGCGUUACUCGCAGAAGAAGCACCGGCUAACUACGUGCCAGCCGCCGCGGUAAUUC
This 406-nucleotide ribosomal RNA is filed under the name uncultured bacterium. Its description in RNAcentral is "partial 16S ribosomal RNA". It matches the Rfam family "Bacterial small subunit ribosomal RNA", at positions 30 to 526 of the family's 1533-position model. The record is from RNAcentral.